Molecule: ribosomal RNA, 468 nt
Filed under: uncultured bacterium
Lineage: Bacteria
Description: partial 16S ribosomal RNA
Rfam family: Bacterial small subunit ribosomal RNA
Source: RNAcentral
GACGAACGCUGGCGGCGUGCUUAACACAUGCGAGUCGAACGGAAAGGCCCUGCUUUUGUGGGGUGCUCGAGUGGCGAACGGGUGAGUAACACGUGAGUAACCUGCCCUUGACUUUGGGAUAACUUCAGGAAACUGGGGCUAAUACCGGAUAGGAGCUCCUGCUGCAUGGUGGGGGUUGGAAAGUUUCGGCGGUUGGGGCUGGACUCGCGGCUUAUCAGCUUGUUGGUGGGGUAGUGGCUUACCAAGGCUUUGACGGGUAGCCGGCCUGAGAGGGUGACCGGCGACAUUGGGACUGAGAUACGGCCCAGACUCCUACGGGAGGCAGCAGUGGGGAAUAUUGCACAAUGGGCGGAAGCCUGAUGCAGCAACGCCGCGUGCGGGAUGACGGCCUUCGGGUUGUAAACCGCUUUCGCCUGUGACGAAGCGUGAGUGACGGUAAUGGGUAAAGAAGCACCGGCUAACUACGUG